AGGAAGAACCUCGGAGUCUCUGUGAGUUAGCGCAGUAAAAGACAUGUAGUCUCUGCCAACUUCACCCUCCAUGAGGCUUACUGCCUGCGGUUCCUGGUCCUGUGUCCGGAGUGUGAGGAGCCUGUCCCCAAGGAAACCACGGAGGAGCACUGCAAGGUGGAGCACCAGCAGGUGAGGAGGCGGCAGGGAGGAUGGGGUCUGAGAGUCAAGGCGAGUGUUCAGUCCUCCCUGCAGGAGAGAUGGGGUCUGAGAGGUGGGGGAUGAGGGUCUAGUCCUCCCUGCAGGUGAGAUGGGGUCUGGGAGUCAAGGUGAGUGUUCAGUCCUCCCUGCAGGUGAAAUGGGGUCUGGGAGGGGCAAGUGUUCCAUCUUCCCUGCAGGAGAGAUGGGGUCUGGGAGUCACGGAGUGGGUCCAGUCCUCCCUGCAGGAGAGAUGGGGUCUGGGAGUCACGGAGUGGGUUCAGUCCUCCCUGCAGUUGAAAUGGGGUCUGGGAGGGGCAAGUGUUCCAUCUUCCCUGCAGGAGAGAUGGGGUCUG
RNAcentral lists this small RNA (533 nucleotides) under Pan troglodytes (chimpanzee). RNAcentral describes it as "retained intron". Lineage: Eukaryota; Metazoa; Chordata; Mammalia; Primates; Hominidae. The record is from RNAcentral.